GCCCCCAUAGCUCAGUGGAUAGAGCGCUGCCCUCCGGAGGCAGAAGCGUAGGUUCGAGUCCUACUGGGGGUACAA
RNAcentral lists this transfer RNA (75 nucleotides) under Chloroflexota bacterium. Its description in RNAcentral is "Chloroflexi bacterium (bioreactor metagenome) tRNA-Arg". It matches the Rfam family "tRNA". Rfam says of the family: Transfer RNA (tRNA) molecules are approximately 80 nucleotides in length. Their secondary structure includes four short double-helical elements and three loops (D, anti-codon, and T loops). The record is from RNAcentral. Lineage: Bacteria; Bacillati; Chloroflexota. RNAcentral also lists the same sequence under 1 other name.